RNAcentral lists this ribosomal RNA (250 nucleotides) under uncultured bacterium. RNAcentral describes it as "partial 16S ribosomal RNA". It matches the Rfam family "Bacterial small subunit ribosomal RNA", at positions 524 to 772 of the family's 1533-position model. The record is from RNAcentral.
UACGGAGGAUCCAAGCGUUAUCCGGAAUUACUGGGCGUAAAGAGUUGCGUAGGCGGUCAAUCAAGCAGGGCAUGAAAUAGUGUGGCUCAACCAUACUGCUAUGUUCUGAACUGUUUGACUAGAGGAUGAGAGAGGUUAUUGGAAUUCCCAGUGUAGGAGUGAAAUCCGUAGAUAUUGGGAGGAACACCGAUGGCGUAGGCAGAUAACUGGCUCAUUCCUGACGCUCAGGCACGAAAGCGUGGGUAGCAAA